Chrysemys picta bellii (western painted turtle) is the source of this 5461-nucleotide RNA transcript. It is a transcript of the gene named zwilch kinetochore protein, with no coding region annotated. The record is from RefSeq and is a predicted model, not a curated record. NCBI's taxonomy places the organism in Eukaryota, Metazoa, Chordata, Testudines, Emydidae.
CCGUGCUGGGUGUAGUCCCGGCUGGAGGGGCCGUGACCUCAGAGGGGCGGGAAGGCGCGUAGUUCGCUUCGCUUGCCCUGACUGAGAGGCCGGCAGGGCGGGAUGGGCUCCCCCUGGCACCAGGCGGCCCGGCGGCUGUACGACUGUCUGCUGCAAGUAUAUAAUGAAGGUAUCCCCAAAGACCCAUUUCCCUUUGAGGCUGAUGUCCAAGUACAUUUGAUUGGCGAGGGUUGCAGAAGUCCCUUAGAAAGUUUUUGGAAUGGAAACAGUAUGAUAUUCAUUAUGGAGAAAGCAGGACAUGUUGAACUAAUUGACCAAAUGGAAGAAUCACAAAUAGAUGAUGCCACUUAUAUUUCAGAGUUUACACCACAGAAGGGUUCUGGACCAGUUGCUCUAUCUGUUACAAGAGGAAAGCAACUGAUUUCACUCUAUACAAUGGCACAAAAUCCAAACAUGACCCAUUUGAAGAUAAGCAAACCAGUUGUGCUUCCUCCCCUGUGGGUAAGAUGUGACCGCUCUGACCCUGAACAUACCUGUUGGCUAGGUGCUGAGCCUCUCAAAAAUGGGAACAAAAUCACAGGGAUCAGUUUCCAUAUAGUUACAUGUAAUGGUCCUACAGCUGAUAAAACCUGUUUUGCAAAUCUAGAAGACCUCAAAAAGACACACAAAAUCAGACAUCGCUCAUCUAUUGUGACAACCAAAGGCUUUGCUCAAUAUGAGCUCAUUCGAGCCACUACAUUGGAGGAUACAGUGGUUGAAUCAGAGAGUAAUAUAUAUGUUGAUAUUACUUGGAAUAUUGUGGAUACGAUUCUGCAGACACCUCCACUCACUGCAGCGGCGACAUUGAACAUUAGAUUGGAAUCUGGGGACCCCAGGAGUCCUGUGUUCCAGUUACAUAGAGAAUUGCAGUUUCUCCUUGUUUUGGCUGAAGGCUUGAAGACUGGCGUGACUGAAUGGCCUGAGCCUUUGGUAGCUGAAUCAGCGGUUGAGCUCGUCAAGGAACUUCUGAAUGAUUUAAAGAAUAAACUGGAUGGAUUUAAUACAUCAGUACAUAAAAAUGAUGCAGAGAAAGUCCAAUGUGACUCAGCUGCAGUGGACAGUUCAAUAAAAUCACUUUUUAGUGAGCGAGGAGACCUGGAUUUUCCUGAACAGUUGUGGUGCAAAAUGAGAAGGAGUGUCGCUUCCUAUCAAGACUUGGUAGAGUGUUUCACACUGAUCAUAAAAUCCCUAGAACAUGGUGAGAUACAGCCUUGGAUUCAUCAAGAGAGUAGCAGUUUACUAAGCAAAUUGAUUCAACAAUCCUAUCAUGGAGCUAUGGAGGCUAUUUCCCUCAGUGGUGUCACUCCAAUUCAAAUGCUUCUGGAGAUUGGUCUGGACAAAAUGAAGAAAGAUUAUGUCAGUUGUUUCAUAGGCCAAGAACUUGCAACAUUAACCUAUCUGGACUACUUCAUAUCCACAUCAGUAGAGCUACAGGAGCAGGUUCAUCGCCUUCAAAAACUUCAUCAUAUGCUGGAAAUAUUGGUCAGCUGCACAGUCUUUCUUCAUUUCAAACAUGAGAACCUCUUCCCUUUGAUGCAGUCCUGCAUAAAAUAUUACAAAGAAAAUCCUCUGAAUGAGAAGCAUGUGUUUCAGCUACCAAUCAGACCAGCUGUUGUCAAUAAGUUCUAUCAAAAUGAUCAUGCACAAAUAUGGAGGGUGGAAAUAAAUAGUGGACAUGGUCAGAAGGAGGUUAAAACAGUAUGGCAGCUUAGUACUAAUCCUCCUGUUGAACAUAUGACUUCGAACAACCUAGAAGUACUUUGUGAUACAACAGUUAAUGGAAACACUGAAGAAAGUAUGUAUUUUAUUACCAUGGCUAACUGCAGUCAGGUGCAUUUUGCGUAAAAGAUUCCUGUUGUACAGAUAGACGCUUAGAAGGUACAGUAAAUGUAAAAUAUUGUCAGCAUAUCUGCUUCCCCAAGUAUAUCUAAAUAUAUUUUAUGGUUGGAAGAAUGAUACCCUAUAUUUGGUAGUUAUUUGCUGUUGUGUGUUGAAGUUAGAAUCUGCAUAGACCUAUAAUUCAACAGUAUGUGUACAGUUUGUUUAAAUACUUUGUAACAUGCAGUUAUUUUUAAAAAAUAUAUAAAAUGUAAUUGCUUUAAAAACUAAUUUUGAUAGUUUAUAAAUUAUGAAUAUUUUACUUGUUUACAUUGUUUUAAUUUUAUUUUUAUUGUUUAUUGUACAAUGUAGUUGACCAAGAGCAAACAGCGUUAUAAAAUCUUUGCUGGUGUCGCAUGAUGUUACAUCAGUAAGACCUAUUUGGAGAGAUGCUCUUCCAGUGCCAUAUACAUUUUGUAAAAGAACUUCAGUUUUCUCUAGUCCGAUAUUUAUAUUUUGGAGUUGUUCUUCUCAUCUAGCCCAAAUUCAGCCUUCUUUCAAAUGCAAAUAAUUGAUUUUAAUCACUUUUUUUCAUUUGUACUUUUGAGUUAUUUUCAUAAAGAACAUUUAUAUAACUAUUAAAACAUGUUGAUUUGAUUACUUACAGUUAAAUAUAGCCUUUACAUUAGAUUUGGUACUACAUUUUGCUAGGAGGAUGCACAUUUAUCUAAUUAUAUAGCAUAACAUACAUUUGUUCUGUAAUUUGAGGCCAAAGCUUUUCUGCACAACAGAAACUGUAAGUACUGACAUUUGGAAAAAAGUAACUGCCAGCAUUCAUUCCUUUGUCAAAACUGAAAAUGAUAUAGAUGGUACCAUAUUAUUAAUUUUGACCCCAAAAUAUAGUUAAAGAUGUUUUCGCCCUGAUUUUAUAUACCAAAAAAGAAGCCUUUAUAGUUUGAAAAUGGCUCAUUGAAUCAGUGUAUGAGAUUUUUAUUUAUUCAAAUGUAUAUAAAUUAUUUUAAUAGAUGAUAGUCAGUUUAGGCCUUAGCAUAGGUUGUCAUAAAUUCAAAUUUAAAUAAAUUAAUCUGUCUUGAACAAUAAAAACACAUUUAAAUUUAAAUUAAAGUUAAAUUUUAAAAUACAGUUUAAAUGUGUGGGUUUUUUAAGUCUUUGACUUUUAUUCACUCUUCUUGAAUAGAAGCUAAGAAAUCUAUCCAUUUUGUGCACAGUUAAUCUGACAUCCACAAAUUUAGUUUGUGUUUUGGAAUUUUGGUAAAAGUUGAACAUAAAGUCUUGCUUUGAAGGAAUCAUUUCAGGCCAAGCAAUGGCAGGUUGCUAGCCAUACUCUGGAACUAGUUCAGUUCUGUAGAAGCAGGUGCAUUUUGAUUAAGCUGGAGCAGGACUGAAUUUGGUACAGUAUCUUAACUUACAUGUCCAAGUCCUUGGAUCACAUUUUUGUGUGUGUGCAACAUUCUCUAAUAAAGAAAGAGAUGUAUAAUGAGUAGGCCCUACCAAAUUGACAGUGAAAAAUGUGUAAUGGAUCAUGAAAUCUGAUUAUUGUCGUCGUAUUGCCACCCUUACUUCUGCAUCGCUGCUGAGGGCAGCGCUGCCUUCAGAGCUGGGUGGCCAGAGAGCAGUAGCCACCUGCCGAAUGCCCAGCUCUGAAGACAGCAUUGCCACCAGCAGCAGUGCAGAAUUGAGGGUGGCAUGGUAUGAAGGGGGUUGUCAUUUUGGGGGGUAGCAGAGCUGACCUUUAUGGGUGGGUGACGGUGGUGACUGUCCAGGGCGCUGUGGACACACACACACAGCCAGCCAGCCAGCCAGCCUAAAGUCCCUUUAACCCCCGAGCGCUGGGCCAGGAGCAGGGCUGGGAGUUCUCCAGCCGGGGGUACUGUGUGCUGGGCUACAGCUGCUAGUCCCGGCUAGGCUGGGGAAGGAGGGGACUUCCUCUUCCCCUGCGUGGGCUGCUCCCAAGGCAGGGUCAGCCCUCCCUUCAGGAACCUUCCCCCGGCUCCAGGAAGCUACGCGGCUGCUGGCUGGGAGCCCAGCUCUGAAGGCAGCACCACCACCAGCAGCAGUGCACAAGUAUGGGUGACAAUACCAUACCAUGUCAUCCUCACUUCUGCGCUGCUGUUGACAGUGGCGCUGCCUUCAGAGCUGGGCUCCCAACUGUCCAGCUCUGAAGGCAGCAGUUCAGAAGAAAUGGUGGCAAUAGUGUGAACCCCUACAAUAGCCUUGUGACAUCCCACCCCCCAAAAAGCCCUUUCUAGGUUGGGACCCCCACGGUUACAGCACUGUGAAACUUUGAUUUAAAUAUUGGAAACUGUGAAAUUUACUAUUUUUAUAAUCCUAUGACCAUGAAAUUGACCAAAAUGGACCGUGAAUUUGGUAGGGUCCUAAUGCUGAGGUAGGUCUAGUGGCCUAAGCAUAGGACUGGACAUCAGGAUUCCCUACUUCUGGUUCUGGCUCUGACCAUAAGUCUGUGAACAAGUCAGUUAGUCUAUCACAUUUAUUCCACCGGUGUGCAAAAUUUGGGUUAAUAAUACCUAAUUAUUAUUGUAUGGAGAUGACUAGUUAAUGUUUAUGCAAUGCCAUUAAGAUUUUGAAGUAUGAUAUGCUGUAAGUAUUCUAUGUUCGUAUUUCGUAAUUAGCACAUCAGCACUGUAUUUUUAAUUACCAUGGAACAGGUUGAAAACAGAACUUGCCAACAAUCUGCCUAUCCUUGAAAUAUAUAUUGGCAAGCUUUGAAACAAUUUAAUCUCAGUCACCUGUUGUCCUAAUGAAGAAAAUGCAUACGCCUCUACCCCAAAAUAACGCGACCCGAUAUAACAUGAAUUCAGAUAUAACGCGGUAAAGCAGCGCUUCGGAAGGGCGGUGUGCGCACUCCGUGUUACGUAAAGGAGGCAUCUGUGGAAACCUUUAAAACAGUGUUAGAAUAAGAGUGGCAUUUUAUUGCCUAUGCAAAAUGAAGAUGUUAUGUAAACUUGUAGUUUUAGUUGUGCUUCCGAAGAAGGAACAUUAAUAGAAUGGCACUGAUAAGUAUGCAGAGUGUGAACACCGUUGGUACAACAAUUUCAGUCACCAUUUCCAUGUGAGUAGUCAAGGGAUCUGAAAUUUGAGAAGAGAAAAAAUAAUAGAUAAGAUCUGUUCUAAUGGAAUAAUUUUAGUUAUUUGUUCAUUCUAUUUUUUAAGCUUUGAAUCUUUUUGAACAUAAUUUGUUUAAAGCUAAAAUUAAUUUUUUUACAUAUUGGCAUCUGCAUUAAACUGGCGUCACUAAAAACAACAGAGAGAAAGAAAUUGUAAAAGAUAGAAUAAACAUGUUUUAUAUAUUUUGAAAAUCCGCAGCAAGUUUAUGUUAAGCUCUCUUCAUCUAUAUCUUUUGUGGUAAAUUCUGAAACAUGUCAGUGCUCAAAGGGUUACAAAAAAUUGUGCUUACCAUGAAUUAGUCUCAGUAUAUUAGCAGCAGUAUUCCGCUGUUCCUCUAAUUUUCAAGGAAAGGGGGGAAAAAGAAAAUAGUCAAAAAUCUUUGGAAAGCACUCUAACCCUUUGAGGACUGCAUUGUAUCUCUGUGGAAUUAAAAUUAAAUUGCUUCUUUAAACUUUUA